AUACGUAGGUGGCAAGCGUUAUCCGGAUUUACUGGGUGUAAAGGGCGCGUAGGCGGGGGUGCAAGUCAGAUGUGAAAUCUAUGGGCUUAACUCAUAAACUGCAUUUGAAACUGUAUCUCCUGAGUGCUGGAGAGGUAGACGGAAUUCCUUGUGUAGCGGUGAAAUGCGUAGAUAUAAGGAAGAACACCAGUGGCGAAGGCGGUCUACUGGACAGUAACUGACGCUGAGGCGCGAAAGCGUGGGGAGCAAACAGGAUUAGAUACCCUGGUAGUCCACGCUGUAAACGAUGAAUACUAGGUGUGGGGGGACUGACCCCCUCCGUGCCGCAGUUAACACAAUAAGUAUUCCACCUGGGGAGUACGGCCGCAAGGUUGAAACUCAAAUGAAUUGACGGGG
Molecule: ribosomal RNA, 396 nt
Filed under: uncultured bacterium
Lineage: Bacteria
Description: partial 16S ribosomal RNA
Rfam family: Bacterial small subunit ribosomal RNA
Source: RNAcentral